This 546-nucleotide ribosomal RNA is filed under the name uncultured bacterium. RNAcentral describes it as "bacterial SSU rRNA". It matches the Rfam family "Bacterial small subunit ribosomal RNA", at positions 356 to 896 of the family's 1533-position model. The record is from RNAcentral.
GGGGAAUAUUGCGCAAUGGGGGCAACCCUGACGCAGCCAUGCCGCGUGAAUGAAGAAGGCCUUCGGGUUGUAAAGUUCUUUCGGUAGCGAGGAAGGCAUUUAGUUUAAUAGACUAGGUGAUUGACGUUAACUACAGAAGAAGCACCGGCUAACUCCGUGCCAGCAGCCGCGGUAAUACGGAGGGUGCGAGCGUUAAUCGGAAUAACUGGGCGUAAAGGGCACGCAGGCGGUGACUUAAGUGAGGUGUGAAAGCCCCGGGCUUAACCUGGGAAUUGCAUUUCAUACUGGGUCGCUAGAGUACUUUAGGGAGGGGUAGAAUUCCACGUGUAGCGGUGAAAUGCGUAGAGAUGUGGAGGAAUACCGAAGGCGAAGGCAGCCCCUUGGGAAUGUACUGACGCUCAUGUGCGAAAGCGUGGGGAGCAAACAGGAUUAGAUACCCUGGUAGUCCACGCUGUAAACGCUGUCGAUUUGGGGAUUGAGCUUUAAGCUUGGUGCCUGUAGCUAACGUGAUAAAUCGACCGCCUGGGGAGUACGGCCGCAAGGUUA